Molecule: ribosomal RNA, 51 nt
Filed under: Ailuropoda melanoleuca (giant panda)
Lineage: Eukaryota; Metazoa; Chordata; Mammalia; Carnivora; Ursidae
Source: RNAcentral
GUCUACGGCCAUACCACCCUGAACGCACCCAAUCUCAUCUGAUCUCGGAAG